Molecule: long non-coding RNA, 260 nt
Filed under: Nicotiana benthamiana
Lineage: Eukaryota; Viridiplantae; Streptophyta; Magnoliopsida; Solanales; Solanaceae
Description: long non-coding RNA (NBEN_LNC022494)
Source: RNAcentral
UAGCUUCAACUGCGCAGCUUCUCACCAGAGAGGACGCCUGCUACAGACUCACGCAAAUGAAAACCAUCGCGUACACCCUCGCUAUCAUCGCUUCAUCCAUAGCUUUGGGCAGCGACUUCACUUCAUCAGUUGUUAUUGUUUAAAUUUUGGUUCCUUCUUAAGAUAUCUCGUUCAAGUUUUGUUUUGGUGGUUCGAGUAUCGUAUCAAUUAAUGUUCAUUCUGCAAUAUAUUGGAUUUUUUUUUGGUCCAUAGGAAGCGAC